Molecule: long non-coding RNA, 2818 nt
Organism: Lolium perenne
Lineage: Eukaryota; Viridiplantae; Streptophyta; Magnoliopsida; Poales; Poaceae
Source: RefSeq, a predicted model, not a curated record
UGAACAAAUGAGGAGCUCUCUCGACUCUUCUCCCCCACUCUUCUCCACCUCUCCCACGAGCUCCCCAAUCGACUCCCUCCCUACCCAAUUUCCAUCUCCACCGCCUCCCCUGAAGCUCCUCUAGCGUAUCCGACGGAUUCGCCACUCAGGCGGUCCGCCGCGAUGGUAGGGAUGACCCACAGAUCCUGCGCCUGCGUCUCCGAGGGGUUCGCUGGUUCUGCCGUCCGACGGCACGGCCAUGGGCUGAUGCGUCGCGAAACCGUACCUUGAGGAGCAGCGUCCGCGUCGCCUCACGUACGUGGGCGCCAGACCGAAGGGUUCCGACGUCGGAGGGAGAUGGCCGUCAAGCGCCUAGCCGUGUCGCGGGGAGUCCACGGCUCCGCGCCAGCUAGGAGGGGUGCUCCUGCGACAAGAUGGUGAGAGGCCCGCCGAGCGAGGCCAACCCUGCUGCUGGUCUCCGGCGGACCAGCCGAUGAGAUCCGACAGGAUGUGCCACGGCGCCCUCCAUCCAGCCCACCAUGCGCCUCGCUGCCCCCAGCUCGCCCGAUCUGAUGUAUGAUCGUCGCACCAGCAACUCGCUCAUAGGAGGCGGCCGCGGGGUAAGUUACCACCGGCGGCGACGGCAUAGGAUAGGGGCAAGAAGGUCAGGGGUGGAGCCGCUGGAGGGAAGGUCGACUGGCUGGGCUCGGUCACCGCGUUUGGCUCCGCCUCUGCCGAGAAGAGAAUGAUGGGCGGCGCGGCGAGGGGGGCGAAACUGCUGCAUCUUGCAUAUUCUGAACAUCAGCGACGAGUCACCGUAUGUUCGCCACUUCCAGCUGCUUCGUCUUUGCGGUCGCCCUCAGCCCCUCGCGAAUGGUUUCGAGUUCCCGGACUUCCCGUGUGAGGACAGCCGUCGCUCGGACGCGCUGCUGCGUGCGUGCGCAACAACAUCUAACACGGAUCUGAAGUCAUAUUCACGGAUCGGGAAAUUCUAAUGUGACAUAUUUAAAGAAUUUGGACAUGUUGGCUUCGAGAUCUUUUUUUCUCCUCGAGGCCUAACAUUUGUCCUGUUCUACGCAGCUUCCGGGUAUGCUAAAGAUUGAUCUUGUGAGGUUUCUUGAGCUUCUGUUCGGGCGUUUCUAUUCAGCCUAAUGCAAAUUUGUUUUGCUGAUUUUAGACCUGGCAAGUAGUAAGGUAUAAGGCUCCUAGCAGUCCGAAGAUUGUGCCGCACUGUUGUUAAGGCUUGAUUUGUUUAUCAUCAACACAUGAGACAAGAUAAGAAACGUAUUUGUCAAUUCGUUGGAGCACGAGCCACACGGCUGUUCUCUUCAUUUGGUUCCGCGAAUCUUGGUCUUCCGAGCAAAGGUUGCAUACACCUUAUAAGUUUCCUAAGUAGGGAAAGUUAUUUCAAUCUUACUUCCACUGCAUAUCCAUUAUUAUUAGCAGAUGGAAAUGCAAUAGCAUGAAACAUAUGUAACCACUCUCACAUUCUAACCCAAUCAUAAUGCUAGGCAAGUAAGAUAAGUUGUUCAGUUUUUUGAUUGAACUAUAGAUAUCUGUGAUAGCUUGGUCUCUUUUUUACAGCAGGCAUGGGUAUCUCAGGGAUAAGAAGUCUUUAUUUUAGUCUCACUUGAAGUGAAAUUUCUUCACAUUGCCAUUAAGUGCCUCUUUUCCUUACUUUCCCACUGUAAGCAAGCUAGGCAUUGUUAGUUUUUCUGCAGUAACUCCAUAGAUGAACCAUCUAUAAUAUUUGUUAUUCAACGCAUAAAUUGGUAAUCGGGUUGCUCAUCUGUUGCAUCGCUAUUCAGUCUAUGUUAUUGAUCGCUCUUUUGACUGUCGCACCUUUUCCUUCUACAAUUCACAGACAUUCUCAUGUAUCACUGUGUUCCGUGUAGGAGUUAAGCCUUGGGAUCAUAAGUGCCUCAAAGGGAGCAUCAGGAACAAGCUGUCGAGGGUAAUGAAGGGGUAAUUUCCGUGGGGGGUAUAGAUUUAACUAUUGUGUGCAUUGUCAGUUAUGGCGUUGGUUAUGUUUCCUCUUCUGGUCAACGGCGGAACAAAAUUUCUACUUUAUUGUUCUCCUAUUCCAAGAUUUUUCUUCGGUCAAAUGCUCUCUAAUUUUCUUUGUAAAGAUUAAUUUACUAUCAAAUCUUGCAUGCCAUUAUUCUUACAGUAGGCAGCCGACAACAAAUGCGCAAGGCUGUGAUAUGCUCUCAUCACUCAGGAAUUUCUAUCGAGGAACUUUAAAUGUUUACCAAAAGAAGCGAGUUCACGUUUCGCCCAUUCUAUUCCUUUUUCUCUGUUGUAAUCAAAAGUUUUAAGACUAUUUUGUUCUCCAACAAUUUAGAGCCUAUACAGUAAAUGAUCCAUAUCUCAGAUCACAACUUAUAUUUUACUGAAUAAUACUGAUUAGUAAUUCAGCUCUAAUCAGCACUUACUAAUAUUUUUACGGUGUGGCUUUCGCAUCACAGUUGAAAAUCAUGUUGCAGGAGAAGCAUCAAGGGACCUUGGAUGCUGAGGUAUAUAAGGUGCUCUUCUUGGUUAGGAAUUUUCAAUUUCGUGAUGGUAUUCGAAGAAUUAAUGUUUGGUUGCACCUACCUAUAUCAUGUAGCAGUUUCUACCUUGUGUCCGCAUGAGCUUUUUGUACAGGAAACCCCGAAAUCAGUAAUGGUUGUUUCCGAGUGUUUCGGCUUGCUCCUACGUUGGCAGUUAUGUUCUACAACCUGUAAUCGAUGUGGAACUGUUAUAUGUGUUUUCUCUUUGAACUACAGCUGAUCUGUGUAACUUCUAUGUUUCAAGUUUUUUUUUCUCUUUUUGAGAUAAUAUCAUCUUAUAUUCUUCA